UACACACCGCCAGUCACGCCAUGGAAGCUGGGGGAACCUGAAGCCGGUGGGCUAACCGCAAGGGGGCAGCCGUCAAAGGUCAAUUCAGUGACUGGGGCG
Molecule: ribosomal RNA, 99 nt
Filed under: uncultured bacterium
Lineage: Bacteria
Description: partial 16S ribosomal RNA
Rfam family: Bacterial small subunit ribosomal RNA
Source: RNAcentral